GAGAGGGAGAGAGAGCUUUCUUCAGUCCAUUCAAGGGGUGCCCUGGGAUUUAACUAGCUGCCGACUCAUUCAUCCAAAUGCCGAGCGAAAGGGCUCGGUACAUCGUCGCUCGGUAAAUGAGUGAAUGAAGCGGGAGACUUGUUGAGUCUUAAGCUCCCUUCGCUUGGACUGAAGGGAGCUCCCUCAUGUCAUCUU
Molecule: non-coding RNA, 195 nt
Organism: Punica granatum (pomegranate)
Lineage: Eukaryota; Viridiplantae; Streptophyta; Magnoliopsida; Myrtales; Lythraceae
Source: Rfam